Long non-coding RNA from Puntigrus tetrazona (Sumatra barb), 2239 nucleotides. RefSeq lists it as uncharacterized. Lineage: Eukaryota; Metazoa; Chordata; Actinopteri; Cypriniformes; Cyprinidae. The transcript is spliced from 3 exons. The record is from RefSeq and is a predicted model, not a curated record.
GAAACAUCACUGCAGUGGCAGAGAGCCGGUUGAGGAGGCCUGGAACUGUGGGAACGUGUUCUGCGCCAGCUGCUGUGAUCAGAAGGUGUCGGGUCAGCAGCUCCGUGAGGCCGGUCACGUGUGUCAGGCGUGUUACGGUCACCUGCGUCCCUCCGCCGUCCCUCCAGCGCUGCCCCCUGCUGACCUGGAGCUGGAGAAACCCAUCACCGCCAGCUCCAACUGAGCUUCAGAGCACGCUCAGAAGUGCACUUCCUGAAAACAUCUCUAAUGUUCUCUUAAGGCGAGACACUGCUUCCUCACGCAGCUGAUCGACCGCAGACACGUAAUGCAAGGUUAGCUUUAAAUAUGCAAAGAAUGCAUUUUUAAUAGUUUUCAAAAUGUGUUUUUGACGCGUGUGAUCCUGGAGCACAGAGGAUCCUCAGCAGCGCAGAAAUGAUCAAAUUUUAUCUUACGCCAAAAAUCAUUAGGAUGUUAAGAUCAUAUUACUCAUAUUUGGUAAAUUUCCUACCAUAAGUAUAUCAAAACUUCAUUUCUGAUUAGUAAUAUGCACUGCUAAGUACUUGAUUUGAACAGCUUUAAAGCUGAUUUUCUCAAUAUUUAGUUUUUUUUGCUUCCUCAGAUUCCAGACAGUUGUAUCUCAGGCAGAGAUCGUUCGAUCACGAAAGAUCAUUUAUUCAUCUUUCACAUGAUUUCUCUUUCUCGGUCUUUUGUGCUCCUGGGUCACAUGUUAGACUCUAAAGUCUUUACUGAGGGAAUUGUACUUAGAACAGACAGAAAGCUAUAUAUCUGGACAGUUUUGAUGGGAAUCAAGCAAAUUAUAAACGAACAAAUUCCUCAGUAAACAGAAACAGUGUCUCGCUUUAAGACGACAACAAACGAGCGUCUUCCUUCCCAAAGAUUCAGAUUCACCUCAAGAUUUAAGUUAAAGUAUUUAAGACAAAUUCCGAGACGAAUAUAUGAUGAAAUUAUUGUACUAAAGCCGAGAAAAUAAGGUUUGUAGAUAUUAAGGAGUCAAGUUAUGUUUACAUGCGGCUUCUCUGAGAAAUAUUGCUCUAGCCAGUCGUUCUAAUCUUCACCUUUAAGACGUCUCCUGGGAGUUUUUAGCUUUGGGCGAUUCACAGGAAUAUUCUUCAGAAACGAUUAGCGCAUUAGUUCAAAAGAAUCAAUAAAAUGGUAUGAAAGCCAAGACAUGAUCCGUGAACAUAGUAAUACGUUUCUUAAGAUCAGUUCCAGGAGGUUGGUAAGAUUCACGGACAUCUCCUGACUCUGUCUUCAUUUCGUGAGUUCUAGUGAUUCAUGGAAAUAUUCUUGAGAACAUAUUUCUUAAAAUAAAUUGCAAAGUUUUAACAGUUCACAAAAAUCUUUUGAACAUUUAAUUUGAUUCCCGUGAAUGUUCUUAGAAAAGACGCUUCUUAAGAUUUUUGUAAAUUCCAAACUUUAUGGAAUAGAAGUCGUUUCUUUCAUAGGAUUCACUUAAAUUCAGUUCUGAGGAUGUGUCAUAUUUACUGAAUACUGCAGAAAACGCUCAAAUCAAAACUUUAUUCAUUAUAUAAGGGUCUGUGUUUGACCAGUUUAUGACCAACUGUUACUAAAUUUCAAUAAAUCUUUUAAGGAAAUAUUUAGUGCUGUCAAACUAUGAUUAAUUACAUGCAAAAUAAGCUCUUGUUUACAUGUGUGUGUGUGUGUUUUUAUAUAUAUAUAUAUACACACACAAACAUGCAUGUAUAUAUUUAUAUAUUAAAUAUGAUAGAAAUAGAAAUAUUCUGUAUAUAUAUACAGACGUAUGCUCCACACACACACACUUAUAUAACGUAAACAAAAGCUUUGGUUUUGGAUGCGAUCGAUCAUUUGACAGCACUAAUUUAAAAAAAUCAUAAGAAACAUCUACAAGAACAGAAAAUACUCUCGGCUUUCAACACGAGGAGAAAGCACCGGGAAUGUUUUUAUGUGCGAGUCGGUCCCCGAGCCGCUCUUUUGAUCAGUUUCCUGCGGUCAUGCUGCAAAAAGACUGAACGGCUCCGAGAGGAAGUGGAGGACGACGGAGCUCAGCGAGAACUUCCUGUAGGACACCUCUCUUAGGAUCUGCUUCUCCGGAGCCGUGCACUCGAAUCUGUGUCCAGACGGACUGAACGAUGAAUCCAGCAAUACUCCACGGGAUCAGAGGAAACCUCCCACAAUCCUCUCUGUGUCAGAGCCGCCGCGCUUGUGUGAAUGACAUUAAAGCACAACUCACUGCCAA